GUGAGGAAUAUUGGUCAAUGGACGAGAGUCUGAACCAGCCAAGUCGCGUGAAGGAAGACGGUUCUAUGAAUUGUAAACUUCUUUUGUGCAGGAAUAAAGUGGGUUACGUGUAACCUUUUGUAUGUACUGUACGAAUAAGGAUCGGCUAACUCCGUGCCAGCAGCCGCGGUAAUACGGAGGAUCCGAGCGUUAUCCGGAUUUAUUGGGUUUAAAGGGUGCGUAGGUGGAUUGAUAAGUCAGCGGUGAAAGUUUGCAGCUUAACUGUAAAAUUGCCGUUGAAACUGUCGGUCUUGAGUGCAAAUGAGGUAGGCGGAAUGUGUUGUGUAGCGGUGAAAUGCUUAGAUAUAACACAGAACUCCGAUUGCGAAGGCAGCUUACUGGGAUGCAACUGACACUGUUGCACGAAAGCGUGGGUAUCAAACAGGAUUAGAAACCCCGGUAGUCC
Molecule: ribosomal RNA, 445 nt
Filed under: uncultured bacterium
Lineage: Bacteria
Description: partial 16S ribosomal RNA
Rfam family: Bacterial small subunit ribosomal RNA
Source: RNAcentral